RNAcentral lists this ribosomal RNA (534 nucleotides) under uncultured bacterium. Its description in RNAcentral is "bacterial SSU rRNA". It matches the Rfam family "Bacterial small subunit ribosomal RNA", at positions 46 to 562 of the family's 1533-position model. The record is from RNAcentral.
GCCUAAUACAUGCAAGUCGAGCGAACAGAUAAGGAGCUUGCUCCUUUGACGUUAGCGGCGGACGGGUGAGUAACACGUGGAUAACCUACCUAUAAGACUGGGAUAACUUCGGGAAACAGGAGCUAAUACCGGAUAACAUAUUGAACCGCAUGGUUCAAUAGUGAAAGGCGGCUUUGCUGUCACUUAUAGAUGGAUCCGCGCCGUAUUAGCUAGUUGGUAAGGUAACGGCUUACCAAGGCAACGAUACGUAGCCGACCUGAGAGGGUGAUCGGCCACACUGGAACUGAGACACGGUCCAGACUCCUACGGGAGGCAGCAGUAGGGAAUCUUCCGCAAUGGGCGAAAGCCUGACGGAGCAACGCCGCGUGAGUGAUGAAGGUCUUCGGAUCGUAAAACUCUGUUAUCAGGGAAGAACAAAUGCGUAAGUAACUGUGCACAUCUUGACGGUACCUGAUCAGAAAGCCACGGCUAACUACGUGCCAGCAGCCGCGGUAAUACGUAGGUGGCAAGCGUUAUCCGGAAUUAUUGGGCGUA